GUCAGAGCAUCAGCCCAGAUGCAGACCUUGCCAGGGUGUUGUGGUCACCACUUCUGAGGCUGCUGCUGUGUCUGAUUGUCACUCCUGGCAGUUCAGCUGCCCCCACAUCUGCAGUGGGGCACAGGAGAGGGGCUGCACACGGACCUGUGGCCGGUGUCCCCCCGUUCCGAGGGUCAGAAGCGCUGGCUCUGUGAGCUGUGCCCUGCCAGGCUCACGGCCGCAGGCGGGGACUGCGGGUCUGCUGCCUGAGUGCCAUCUCCUGGGCAAGAGUGAGAGGCAGCGUCUGUGAGACCCCAAGGGAAGCAGAUGCUUUUGCUGUGAUGUCUCAAUGUCUUUUGACAAAGGGGUUUGUUCCCUAUCCACUUCACAGAAGUGUGUGUCUCCACCCAGAACCCAGGGGUUGAUCAUUCUUCUAGGUGAAAUUGCAAGUGUUAGGUAGUUAGUGUUUUCAGGUGUAGGAAAGCAAGUUUCUCCUUUAACAAUAUUUACAGCCUUGUGACUCUAUAAACUCCACACAGGUCCCCUUGUUCCUGCAGUUAAAGUCAAGAGACAUGAAAUAAAGAGUGACCCAACUCCCCUGGGGUUUGAAGAUGCUUUUGAGAACACCAUUUUGGCCCAGACUAAAUGUAAUGCUGGUCCCACCACGAGAUCCGUACCUAGAUCUGCUUCACAGACAGGUUGGCCCGGCAGACAAAUGCCUUCUCUAGACACAUUUGAAGAUUUUGAAGCCAUCCCUUCCAGCAUGGAUGAACUCUCUAACUCUUCUGAUUUGGAGGAAGAGACCAACCCUAACAAUGGGAGCAACCUCUUCCGGGUUGAAGGCAGCUUUGACAGCUGUUUCCCAGAUUCUCUUUCUCUCGAGGAUGGAGAUUUAGUGCAGUUUGUGCAGGAAGGAGAGAAUGGUCAAUGGUUAGUGAAGAAACUGGUCUCUGAGAAAAGCGACUGGGUUCCCUCCAGCAUAUUGCAGCCAGCAGAGGGGGACAGUAGCAACAUAAUUAAGAGCAGCAAUGCAGACACGUACAACGAUUCCUGCAGCACAGCCUCAGUAGAGUCAGACACGAAGGAAAGUGAGGUGGCCAAAAGCUUCCCAGCAGAACAGAGGGCUGGCAGCUGAACAGCAGGACCAGCCUUCCUCAGGACCCAUCCACCUGUCUUUAUCUUGGGUGGACACUGGAUCAAAGUUGCCUUCCUCACAAGCUCUGAGGUUCAUAAUUCACUAAAAUUUUAUCAACAUGAACAGAUGAGAACUGUGCUGUAUACCUGGCAAGCUGGGAAAAACAAACUUGAAAGGAGCAUUAAACAUCCAGAAAACAUCAAAAGUACCUCCAGUAUUAGAGGAGAAAAAUGCUUCUUGCAUUGAUUAUCAAACUGUUUCAGAAGAUGUGGCCUAAAUUAGGUCAACAGCAGAGCUGAAGAGUCUCUAUGCACGCACCUUUUGGCAACUUUGCUUGAGCACCACAUCACUGCAGAGGGGCACAUGGUGGUUAUGAGUCCUUGCUCCACCCUGGGGUCACCUGGAGGUUUUUCCAUUUGCUUGCCUCUGGCUGUGCCUUCCCUGUCCUCCUUAAUUCCAGCUGAUACAUCAUCACAAAUGUGCCCUUCUCGCUGUCAGUCAACACCAAAAACACCCCACUUGAGGGUGGCUGUGGAAAGGAGACUCCUGGCUGGGACCAUCAGCAGCAGUGCCAUGGCCCAGGGAGGCCCUGUUGCACACAGCAUUCCACACCUGGCACGGUGCAGGUGGCAGCUCCUGCCUGGGAGGCGCAGGGCUAAGCAGGGAAGUAGACAUGUAACACUACUGUGACAAAGAACACUGAACUCUUUUUACAGUCUGAGUCAUUCCUCUGCCCCCUCUACAGUCUCUGGUUGCUGGAUCACAACCCUUCGCACUUGGUGCCGAGAAUUCAGUUGAAUGCCAUUUACUGUCACAUGUUUGAGUAGACUGCAUGCUUUCCUUGUGUGCUGGGCUAUGAGUAGAUACAUUUCACCCCCCCAUUUGGAAUAUACUUCAGCAUUGCAAAUAGGCAGUGAGCAUUAGAUGCUCCAAUGAGUGGAUAAAGUGUUGUUGUUAAAUACUUCUUUCCAAGACGUUUGAUGAAAGGACUGUACCAAAU
Molecule: long non-coding RNA, 2114 nt
Organism: Junco hyemalis (dark-eyed junco)
Lineage: Eukaryota; Metazoa; Chordata; Aves; Passeriformes; Passerellidae
Source: Ensembl